CUCUACCUAUAAAACUGAACCUUUUAGACCAGCGGUCAGCGACCUGCGUCUCUUCAGAUCCUCUCCAGCGGCUCCCUGUGGAGUUUUAAAAAUGGAAAUGAAUAACUGUUUUUUUGUUUACAUUUUCAUUUUUAUUUAUGAUUGUUGUAGGUCAAUGGUA
This is a long non-coding RNA of Sebastes umbrosus (honeycomb rockfish), 160 nucleotides long. RefSeq lists it as uncharacterized. NCBI's taxonomy places the organism in Eukaryota, Metazoa, Chordata, Actinopteri, Perciformes, Sebastidae. The record is from RefSeq and is a predicted model, not a curated record. The transcript has 4 exons.